Long non-coding RNA from Brassica oleracea var. oleracea, 802 nucleotides. RefSeq lists it as uncharacterized. The transcript is spliced from 4 exons. The record is from RefSeq and is a predicted model, not a curated record. NCBI's taxonomy places the organism in Eukaryota, Viridiplantae, Streptophyta, Magnoliopsida, Brassicales, Brassicaceae.
CAUUUUGUACCUUUGUCUCUAGAGAUUCCAAGCUGCCUUCAGAUGUUUGUGACCGAUGAAAUUAGUUUAAUGCUCCACUCUCCGUCUUUUAAUUGAUAGAGAAGACGGCUUAGCUCAUCUUAUCAUCUCGCUAUCAACUCAGAGAGCAUGGAAGGAUUUCCUGUGCUUGCUUUGAUGAUGUACGAGGCAUCAUUCCUGGUCUACAGGAACAUACUACAAGACUCUUGAUGGGACUUGCAUACAUGAUUAUGUCACAUACUUCGUUGAUGCGCUCAUGUUAAAGUUCUUGUAAAGGCUAAGCCUCGCAAAAUUGGAAUCUUCAAUGUUGGUACCAGGAAAGGUAGGUCCGUGAAGGAGAUUGUUGAAGCCUGCAAAAAAAGCCACAGCGCUCGAUUACUUGGAAAGAAGGGCAUGCGAUUAGUAGAGGUACUGGUAGAGGUACUCAACCGGACUAAGGAAUAUGAACUCGCCAAAAGGGAGAACUGAUGGAUUGAACAGUGACACAAGAGGGGCGGAAAGUCUCUUGAUACUACCAAACUUCAGUUGUUGCUUGAUAUGACGCACAAGUCCAACAAAAGAAAGGUUUCUAUACGUUGCUUGAUAUGACGCACAAGUCCAACGAAAUAGAGAAGUUUACUUGGAGCUAACCACACCAAGAAACAAGAAGUGUUCUACAAAUAACAAAGGAGAUAAACUCAAUAAAAGGGGAAAAAAGGUUGUCUUAUUUCGUGGCUCUUAGGCCUUAUUUAUAGGAUUACAAGUUGUAGAGAUCCAAAGAAGAAUGUGCUAAAAACAAGUCAUU